RNAcentral lists this long non-coding RNA (577 nucleotides) under Gallus gallus (chicken). RNAcentral's name for it is "long non-coding RNA NONGGAT011689". Lineage: Eukaryota; Metazoa; Chordata; Aves; Galliformes; Phasianidae. The record is from RNAcentral.
AAAAAACCCUGUUUAUUCAGAUCUCCUGUCUCCUUUCCAGAACCUCAUUAUCAGCAAGUCGACAUUCAACAAGGCCGAGCUGACCUCUCCAUCACACUUAUAACUACCCUAGGGUUCAGAUCUUGCUUCCAGUUGAGAAUGCUGACCCAGCUAUUGAUGGACUGGCCCACUGCAGAAGAAAGUUCUGAACUUGAGACAGUUGUUUCUCCAGCAGCUGAACUGAGCAAAGCAAUUCAGAUAAGACUUGAUUGGCACCUGGUUUUGUUAGAGCAUGCAGGGAACAGGCUCCAUAGAGAAUGGAUGAUCAAAUACAUACAUGGAUUUGUAUUGCAUGUGUGGAUUUGCAUGCCAGACUCUUGUCACCAAGAACAGGUGCUGUCCAGCUUAAGCACCACACCCAUGAAAUGGAUGGCAAAGUCCAAGUUUCACCUGUAACUUAUUUCCUCCUUGAUACUGAUAGACUAGGCUCAUGCUUUUUUUCAUUUCCAUCUCCAAUAUCUGUCCUAUAGUCUCACUGUGGAGCACUAGCUGCAGUGAGUUAUGGGAUGUAUGAUUUGUUUAUUGCAUGCAAUUUCUG